UACGUAGGGUGCGAGCGUUAAUCGGAAUUACUGGGCGUAAAGCGUGCGCAGGCGGUUUUGGUAAGCCAGAUGUGAAAUCCCCGGGCUUAACCUGGGAAUGGCAUUUGGGACUGCAAGGCUUGAGUGCGGCAGAGGAGACUGGAAUUCCUGGUGUAGCAGUGAAAUGCGUAGAUAUCAGAGGAACACCGAUGGCGAAGGCAGGUCUCUGGGCUGACAC
Molecule: ribosomal RNA, 217 nt
Filed under: uncultured bacterium
Lineage: Bacteria
Description: partial 16S ribosomal RNA
Rfam family: Bacterial small subunit ribosomal RNA
Source: RNAcentral